RNAcentral lists this long non-coding RNA (624 nucleotides) under Phoenix dactylifera (date palm). Its description in RNAcentral is "long non-coding RNA (PDAC_LNC019363)". Lineage: Eukaryota; Viridiplantae; Streptophyta; Magnoliopsida; Arecales; Arecaceae. The record is from RNAcentral.
AAAUCUGCCGAGGUCUUCUUUUUUUCUCCCUAUGGGAUUCAGGCUGGUUCACUAUGAAGCUAUUUCUGAAAAUUCUAUGAAUGUAAGCUUGGUCUGGCCUAUGGUACUACGAUCCUGUUGGAUUGCACAGGAUUAUUCAAACAGACAAUUAAGUUGUACAAGUGAGAUCAACUUUCAAUAUGGUAGUUGGUCUUCUUUCAAAAUUGAAAUCUCCAACUCUAUAUAUUCCGAGACUUACAAAUCAAAGCUAACUACUCUAAGGCCCGUUUGUUGUGGAUAAUCUCGCAUGAAAAAAAUAAAUCCAAUAUUAGAUUACCAUAUUUGGUACGAAAAAUAGAUAAGAGAGACGAUAAAUUAAAUGGCAAGCCCUAUUUUUCUAACAGGAAGAUAAAACAAAUACUAUAAGGAGAUGGUAUUUAUUUUCCCAGGCUGGAUCUCUAAAAUAUCAUUUUUUGAUAAAUUUGCCCUCACUUAUAUUAUAUUAAUUAAUAUUAAUAUAUUAUAUUAAUAUUAUAUUAAUAUAUUAUAUAUUAAUAUAUUGAUCAAUAAUAUUUACAAAUAAUAAUAUAUUCAAUAUAUUAAUAUAUGGAUUCAUGAAUAUAAAUUAUUAAUAAACAAUCAACA